This 494-nucleotide ribosomal RNA is filed under the name uncultured bacterium. Its description in RNAcentral is "partial 16S ribosomal RNA". It matches the Rfam family "Bacterial small subunit ribosomal RNA", at positions 28 to 507 of the family's 1533-position model. The record is from RNAcentral.
GACGAACGCUGGCGGCGUGCUUAACACAUGCAAGUCGAACGGUGAAGCGCCUUCCUUUUUGGUGGGUGUGGAUGAGUGGCGAACGGGUGAGUAACACGUGAGUAACCUGCCCCCUUCUUCUGGAUAACCGCAUGAAAGUGUGGCUAAUACGGGAUAUUCUGGGUCUGUCGCAUGAUGGGUCUGGGAAAGAUAUUGUUUCGGUGGGGGAUGGGCUCGCGGCCUAUCAGCUUGUUGGUGGGGUGAUGGCCUACCAAGGCGGUGACGGGUAGCCGGCCUGAGAGGGUGGACGGUCACACUGGGACUGAGACACGGCCCAGAAUCCUACGGGAGGCAGCAGUGGGGAAUAUUGCACAAUGGGCGCAAGCCUGAUGCAGCGACGCCGCGUGAGGGAUGGAGGCCUUCGGGUUGUGAACCUCUUUCGCAAGUGAAGCAGGCCUGCCUCGUUUGUGGGUGGGUUGACGGUAGCUGGAUAAGAAGCGCCGGCUAACUACGUG